Molecule: ribosomal RNA, 423 nt
Filed under: uncultured eukaryote
Lineage: Eukaryota
Description: eukaryotic LSU rRNA
Rfam family: Eukaryotic large subunit ribosomal RNA
Source: RNAcentral
AAGGAGUCUAUCCUAUAUGCGAGUGUGCAGGUGAAAAACCUAUACGCGAAAUGAAAGUGAAAGGUGCGCAGUGUAAACAGCAGCAUCGACCGACCUGGUAAGAAAGGUUUGCGUAAGAGCAUAUCUGAUAGGACCCGAAAGAUGGUGAACUAUGCCUGAGUAGGGUGAAGUCAGGGGAAACCCUGAUGGAGGCUCGAAGCGGUGCUAACGUGCAAAUUGCUCGUCAAACUUGGGUAUAGGGGCGAAAGACUAAUCGAACCAUCUAGUAGCUGGUUCCCUCCGAAGUUUCCCUCAGGAUAGCUGGAACAAUUAUGCAGUUUUAUCAGGUAAAAGCGAAUGAUUAGAGGUCUCAGGACUAUUAUGGUCUUGUCCUAUUCUCAAACUUUAAAUUGGUAAGUAACUCUUUGUUCUCUUAACUGAACA